Long non-coding RNA from Rattus norvegicus (Norway rat), 1337 nucleotides. RefSeq lists it as uncharacterized. The record is from RefSeq and is a predicted model, not a curated record. Lineage: Eukaryota; Metazoa; Chordata; Mammalia; Rodentia; Muridae.
UGCCAAAGGCCUGAACUGCGGCUGAAGGAAUAUGACCUGUGUGUGCUGUUACCAUGCUGCCACAGCCUUCCAAAAGCUUCCUGCUGCCCGUGAAUAAAAUCUAACCUCUCUCUGGUUGGAAGCCCUCACUACAAGAACCCAAGCAGAAAGCCUGGAUUUGCCUAUACUCGGUCUUCAGGGGCUGGCUCAGCUCUGCACAUCCAUUGCGUGCCAUAUGAUAACAGACACCCAAGCCUCAGAGCUGACUGACUCUGUAAUGAAGACAACCAGUGAGAGAGAAGAUGGCAAGAUGAGGCAUUACUGAACUAAAGAGAAGCAACACUUAAAGGAGGAAGUAUUUAUUCCAGCCUGCAGUUCCAUGGCAGGGAAAGCACAUCACCGGGACGGAUCCUGUCUGUGGCAGUGGGGACUUGAGGCCCAGCUUGCUCACAUCUUGGAAGACCAAGAAGCAGAGAGUCCUGUCCAGACCAGGUUAGUUUUAAUCUAGCUUGGCCUUAUUUCUCUUAGGUAGGUCCUGUGUCCAGAAGGUUCCACAACUUCCCUAAACAUCCCCUUCAUCUGGGGAGCCAAGUGCUCAGACAUGAACCUGUGGAGGACGUGGUUUACAGUUAUACCAUAGUAGAGUGCCAGACAGCCUCUGAAGAUGCCAGGAAGCCAUUUAGACAGCCUCUGGAGAUGCCAGGAAGCCAAUUCCAUAGUAUGGACGGAUAAUAGGUCUGACCUUAGUGCUCUCACCACCCGCUGCCCCUCUUGCUAGAUUGUGUGACUCAAACUUCUCUGUAUUCAGAGAACGCAUGCGUAGGCCGAGGUCAUGGUGUACAGGGUGGAUUGGAGUAAGGGCAAUCGGACAGGAAAGAGGGCAGGUUCAAUGCAACCAACAAAUCCUAGAGCAAUCGCUUUAGGAGAAUGUAUACACAGUGGAGGGAGAAAAGCCGACCGGUGCUGCUAAAACAGCCCUCAUAUGCCGGAUCCUGAAGGAACGAUGAAGGUUUAAUUGUGAUGGCUCUUCCUUAAAGCUCACCGCAGCCAGCACUGCACAUCACCCUUGCCUGCUGUGUUGACGUUGGUAUGUUAUGCACAAUUGAAAAUCCUCUGGGCUUUGAGAAAAGCCAGAGAAGGCCUUGCAUCUGUGUCAUAGCUUGAAUGUAUCUUCUCCAAAUUCAUACGGAGUUGGAACACUUGGGAGGUGGUUAUGCUUUGAGAGCAGAGCUACCUGACAGGAAUCAGUGACCUUAUGGAAGAAAGUACAGGCUGGGAAUACGGUUGGAUGGUACAGUAGUUGUCUAGCAUGUACAAGGCAAGACCCUGGCUUCCACCCCUAGCAGUGCAGCAAGAGG